RNAcentral lists this transfer RNA (68 nucleotides) under Argas africolumbae. RNAcentral describes it as "tRNA-Ile". The record is from RNAcentral. Lineage: Eukaryota; Metazoa; Arthropoda; Arachnida; Ixodida; Argasidae.
AAUAAAAUGCCUGAAUAAAAAGGAUCAUCUUGAUAGGAUGAAUUAUGUGUAAUACGACACUUUUAUUA